CGGUUGAUCCUGCCGGAGGUCACUGCUAUUGGGAUUCGACUAAGCCAUGCGAGUCGAGAGGGUUCGCCCUCGGCUGACGGCUCAGUAACACGCGGAUAAUCUGCCCUUAGGUGGAGGAUAAUCUCGGGAAACUGAGAAUAAUACUCCAUAGGUCUAGGAGCUGGAAUGCACCUAGACUGAAAGUUCCGACGCCUAAGGAUGAGUCUGCGGACUAUCAGGUUGUAGUCAGGGUAAAGACCUGACUAGCCUACGACGGAUAUGGGUUGUGAGAGCAAUAACCCAGAGAUGAUAUCUGAGACACGAUAUCAGGCCCUACGGGGCGCAGCAGGCGCGAAAACUUCACACUGCGCGAAAGCGCGAUGAGGGAAUCCCAAGUGCUUGCACGUAAGUGUAAGCUGUUUUUCUGUCUAAAUCACGGAGAGAGUAAGGGCUGGGUAAGACGGGUGCCAGCCGCCGCGGUAAUACCUGCAGCUCAAGUGGUGACCGUUAUUAUUGGGCCUAAAACGUCCGUAGCCGGUUUAGUAAAUGCCUGGGUAAAUCGUGUAGCUUAACUAUACGAAUUCCGGGUAGACUGCUGAACUUGAGACCGGGAGAAGCUAGAGGUACUCCUGGGGUAGAGGUGAAAUUCUGUAAUCCUAGGGGGACCACCAGUGGCGAAGGCGUCUAGCUAGAACGGGUCUGACGGUGAGGGACGAAGCCCUGGGGCGCAAACGGGAUUAGAUACCCCGGUAGUCCAGGGUGUAAACGCUGCUUGCUUGAUGUUAGUCGGGCUCCGAGCCCGAUUAGUGUCGGAGAGAAGUUGUUAAGCAAGCUGCCUGGGAAGUACGAUCGCAAGAUUGAAACUUAAAGGAAUUGGCGGGGGAGCAC
RNAcentral lists this ribosomal RNA (867 nucleotides) under uncultured archaeon. RNAcentral describes it as "bacterial SSU rRNA". It matches the Rfam family "Archaeal small subunit ribosomal RNA", at positions 5 to 879 of the family's 1478-position model. The record is from RNAcentral.